This 469-nucleotide ribosomal RNA is filed under the name uncultured bacterium. RNAcentral describes it as "partial 16S ribosomal RNA". It matches the Rfam family "Bacterial small subunit ribosomal RNA", at positions 27 to 507 of the family's 1533-position model. The record is from RNAcentral.
GGACGAGCGCUGGCGGCGUGCUUAACACAUGCAAGUCGAACGGAAAGGCCCUGCUUUUGUGGGGUGCUCGAGUGGCGAACGGGUGAGUAACACGUGAGUAACCUGCCCUUGACUUUGGGAUAACUUCAGGAAACUGGGGCUAAUACCGGAUAGGAGCUCCUGCUGCAUGGUGGGGGUUGGAAAGUUUCGGCGGUUGGGGAUGGACUCGCGGCUUAUCAGCUUGUUGGUGGGGUAGUGGCUUACCAAGGCUUUGACGGGUAGCCGGCCUGAAAGGGUGACCGGCCACAUUGGGACUGAGAUACGGCCCAGACUCCUACGGGAGGCAGCAGUGGGGAAUAUUGCACAAUGGGCGGAAGCCUGAUGCAGCAACGCCGCGUGCGGGAUGACGGCCUUCGGGUUGUAAACCGCUUUCGCCUGUGACGAAGCGUGAGUGACGGUAAUGGGUAAAGAAGCACCGGCUAACUACGUG